GUUAAUGUAGCUUAAACUACCAAAGCAAAGCACUGAAAAUGCUUAGACGGGUUAACUCAACCCCAUAAACA
RNAcentral lists this transfer RNA (71 nucleotides) under Propithecus diadema (diademed sifaka). RNAcentral describes it as "tRNA-Phe". It matches the Rfam family "tRNA". From Rfam's summary of the family: Transfer RNA (tRNA) molecules are approximately 80 nucleotides in length. Their secondary structure includes four short double-helical elements and three loops (D, anti-codon, and T loops). Lineage: Eukaryota; Metazoa; Chordata; Mammalia; Primates; Indriidae. RNAcentral also lists the same sequence under 2 other names. The record is from RNAcentral.